GGGCAGGUAGCUCAGUUGGUAGAGCAACGGACUGAAAAUCCGUGUGUCGCCGGUUCAAAUCCGGCUCUGCCCA
This 73-nucleotide transfer RNA is filed under the name Phycisphaerales bacterium. RNAcentral's name for it is "tRNA-Phe". It matches the Rfam family "tRNA". Rfam says of the family: Transfer RNA (tRNA) molecules are approximately 80 nucleotides in length. The record is from RNAcentral. Lineage: Bacteria; Pseudomonadati; Planctomycetota; Phycisphaerae; Phycisphaerales. RNAcentral also lists the same sequence under 1 other name.